RNAcentral lists this ribosomal RNA (434 nucleotides) under uncultured Clostridium sp. RNAcentral's name for it is "partial 16S ribosomal RNA". It matches the Rfam family "Bacterial small subunit ribosomal RNA", at positions 341 to 792 of the family's 1533-position model. Lineage: Bacteria; Bacillati; Bacillota; Clostridia; Eubacteriales; Clostridiaceae. The record is from RNAcentral. RNAcentral also lists the same sequence under 1 other name.
ACGGAAGGCAGCAGUGGGGAAUAUUGCACAAUGGGGGAAACCCUGAUGCAGCGACGCCGCGUGAGUGAAGAAGUAUUUCGGUAUGUAAAGCUCUAUCAGCAGGGAAGAAAAUGACGGUACCUGACUAAGAAGCCCCGGCUAACUACGUGCCAGCAGCCGCGGUAAUACGUAGGGGGCAAGCGUUAUCCGGAUUUACUGGGUGUAAAGGGAGCGUAGGCGGCACGGCAAGCCAGAAGUGAAAACCCGGGGCUCAACUCCGGGAUUGCUUUUGGAACUGUCGAGCUAGAUUGCGGGAGAGGUAAGUGGAAUUCCUAGUGUAGCGGUGAAAUGCGUAGAUAUUAGGAGGAACACCAGUGGCGAAGGCGGCUUACUGGACCGUAAAUGACGCUGAGGCUCGAAAGCGUGGGGAGCAAACAGGAUUAGAUACCCUGGUA